Non-coding RNA from Marasmius sp. AFHP31, 98 nucleotides. Lineage: Eukaryota; Fungi; Basidiomycota; Agaricomycetes; Agaricales; Marasmiaceae. The record is from the annotation of a GenBank genome assembly.
UCCCUGGUAGUAUAUCGGUUAGUACACGCGCCUGUCAUCAGUGACGUGCACUGAGCACUCCGACGCGCGAAAGCUGGGUUCGACUCCCAGCCAGGGAG